This 356-nucleotide ribosomal RNA is filed under the name uncultured bacterium. RNAcentral describes it as "bacterial SSU rRNA". It matches the Rfam family "Bacterial small subunit ribosomal RNA", at positions 917 to 1269 of the family's 1533-position model. The record is from RNAcentral.
GGGCCUGCACAAGCGGUGGAGUAUGUGGCUUAAUUCGAUGCAACGCGAAGAACCUUACCUGGCCUUGACAUGCAUCUCUAAGCGUGUGAAAGCACGUGACCCCUCGGGGAAUUUGCACAGGUGCUGCAUGGCUGUCGUCAGCUCGUGUCGUGAGAUGUUGGUUAAGUCCCGCAACGAGCGCAACCCUUGUGUCCUGUUGCCACUUCCGCUAGCGCGGAAAGCACUCUGGACAGACUGCCUCGUCUCAACGAGGAGGAAGGUGGGGAUGACGUCAAGUCAGUAUGGCCCUUACGGCCAGGGCUGCACACGUACUACAAUGCCUGGUACAAUGGGAAGCAAUACCGUGAGGUGGAGCA